RNAcentral lists this long non-coding RNA (1295 nucleotides) under Mytilus galloprovincialis (Mediterranean mussel). The record is from RNAcentral. Lineage: Eukaryota; Metazoa; Mollusca; Bivalvia; Mytilida; Mytilidae.
CGGGAUUUAACUGUUUUGAUUCUGUAGUAAAUGAAGAAAUUUCUACAAUAAAUAAGUGACAGUGAUUUAUAUAUCUUGUUAUCCAGAUCUAUUUUAAAACAAUAAGGCGUGGUCUGUACAUGAUAUCAAAUGACCUGUAUAAUCAUUUGACCUAUCUGUAAGCAAUGCACAAUAUAAAAAUAAUAAUAACAAAAUGUAUGACAAAUUAACACCUGUAUUUUGAAAAACGUUUUUGUUAACAACAAAAAUCAACAUUAUAAGGGGGAUACAAUUUUUUAAAACAAAUUCAAAGAAAUUCCAAAAAAAUUAUGAUGAUUUUUUUUUCUAAAACAUAUCAAAAGCCAGUAAAACACAAGUUAGGCCAGAAUUUAAUUAUUUCUUUAAUAAGAAUUUUGCAAAUUUUUUGGGUUGAGGGACGUUAUGAAAAUAAAAAUGAAAGUGAUAUUUCAGUGGAGUAGAGACCCUAAUCGGGGGGGGGGGGGGGGGGGGGGUGGGGGGUUGAAUCGUUUAGAACAGAGACGGGUAAAACGCGUUCAAAAUGACUAAAUCCCUGCGAUAUUCUGCAACGGCCGUCAAUUUCUGACCAAAUCCCUGCAACGGCCGUUAAUUUCAUCCCCCCUUUUUUUUAAUGAAAAUUAGGUAUAUCUUUUGUGUAACUGAACCUUUCAAAAAAAAUGAAGUGACCAUUCUAUGACAAAUUAUAUAAACAAUUCAAAAUAUUUAACAAGGUACGAAUUAAUUGUUUACGCGUUUUGUGAUGCCUGUUUCAAUAGUUCAAGAACGUAAAUACACAUUCAGGUAAAUUGUUAACAUUAUUAAAACGAUCACCACCUGUCACACAGAGAUUCAAUAAAUGUACAUUUAAUUAUUUUAAAAUGGGUAUACCACUGGUCAUAGAAUGGUCAUUUCAUCUUUUUGAAAGAUUUAGUCACAAAAAAGAUAUACAUCAUUUUCAGUUGGAAAAAAGGGGCAAAUUAACGACCGUCGCAGGGAUUUGGUCAUUUUGAACUCGCUUUACCCGUCUCUGUUCUUAACGAUUCACCACCUGUAAAUGAAAAUAAAAGUUGUGAUGCUCAACCAAUUUAUUUUUUUCAAAUUUUUGAUUGAUUGAUUGAUUGAUUGGUUAGUGUUUAACGCCAACUUUAGCAAUAUUACAGCUAUAUCGUGGCGAGAACAGUUUUUUGUUAUUUAGAAAUUACAUGUGGAUGAAAUAUAAAACACUUUAUAUAAAAUCAAAAAUCUUUGAUAAUUUUUUCUUCAAUUAAAAUUAUAUAAUGUGACAUUUAAAAUUUUUU